GAUGAACGCUGACAGAAUGCUUAACACAUGCAAGUCGAUGGGGAAGUGGUGCUUGCACCAUGGUAACCAUGGCGGACGGGUGAGUAACACGUAAGGAACUUACCUGCGGGACCGGGAUAACAGCAGGAAACUGCUGACAAGACCGGAUAAGGUCAUUAAGCUGCAUAGCUUAGUGAUGAAAGGAGACGCCUGCGGAGAGCCUUGCGUCCUAUUAGCUAGUUGGAGGGGUAACGGCCCACCAAGGCGAAGAUAGGUAGCCGGCCUGAGAGGGUGGACGGCCACAAGGGGACUGAGAUACGGCCCUUACUCCUACGAGAGGCAGCAGUGGGGAAUAUUGGACAAUGGGGGCAACCCUGAUCCAGCAAUUCUGUGUGCACGAAGACGGUUUUCGGAUUGUAAAGUGCUUUCAGCAGGGAAGAAGGAAGUGACGGUACCUGCAGAAGAAGCGACGGCUAAAUACGUG
This 463-nucleotide ribosomal RNA is filed under the name uncultured bacterium. Its description in RNAcentral is "partial 16S ribosomal RNA". It matches the Rfam family "Bacterial small subunit ribosomal RNA", at positions 28 to 507 of the family's 1533-position model. The record is from RNAcentral.